GCCUCCGUGGCACAAUCGGCUAUAGCGCAUUCGGCUGUUAUCCGAAGGUUCCCAGUGGUUUCAAAGGCCCUACCGGGGGCG
Non-coding RNA from Trichonephila inaurata madagascariensis, 81 nucleotides. The record is from the annotation of a GenBank genome assembly. Lineage: Eukaryota; Metazoa; Arthropoda; Arachnida; Araneae; Nephilidae.